GGCUCAAAUUCCCUUAAAAGAUAAUAAUCCUGAAGCUGCAGCCAUGAUGUUAGAUCGGGUGCUGAGGCUUCUUGUCAGCUACAAUGCUCUUCAUUGCUCUUUUGUUGAUGGACAAAGGCUCUACUCUCUUGCUCCUGUUUCUAAAUACUUUGUUCGCAAUAAUCAAAACGGCGCGUCGUUGCGUCCCUACAUGGCCUUGUCUCUCGACAAGGUCCUCAUGGAUGGCUGGUAUACAGAAUUACUUUUUCUCUUUUCUUUUCUUUGCUAAUUUUGGUAAAUUAAGGAAAAUUAUCAAAACCUUCUAGUUGUCUAUAUAUAUAAAAAAAUUAAUCAUUUGCAUCUCAUGUUUUGAACCCAUCAAAAUCCGUCAGCUGCUAAAAAGACAGUUAUCUUCAAUUAUUUUACUUCUGUUGUGGUAAAAGACAAAAAAAGUUUAAAGUCCAAGCGUUUUUGAAAUAUGAAAGUAGAAAGGGUUGAUUGUAACAAACAAUUAAUAAAGUAUUCUUUAUCUUGGUUAAUUAUGCGGUCUAAUUUUACAAACUAAGCUUCUAAAAUUGUUACUAACUGUGUUUGGAUUUUGGAAAAUUCAGGUUUCGGUUGAAAGAGCAAAUUCUUGAAGGAGGAAUUGCGUUUAAUAAAGUGCACGGAAUGCAUAUCUACGAUUACAUGGGCGUUGACUCAAGAUUCAAUGAUGUUUUCAACAAUGGAAUGUUAAGCCACACUUCUGUUGUCAUGGAGAAGGUCCUAGAAUCAUACAAAGGCUUUGAGCAUGUUAAGAAGCUUGUCGAUGUUGGUGGCGGCUUAGGAGCUACUCUUAACAUUAUAAUUUCCAAAUACUCUCAUAUUAAGGGUAUUAAUUAUGAUUUACCUUAUGUUAUUAAAAAUGCCCCAUCUUACCCUGGUAUGUUACUUACAAAAUUUAUAUACUAUUUUUGUUAAUGAUUCAUUGAUGGGAUACACAAUAGCUAACAAAAAUUAUUAUUAUUAUUAUUAUUUUAAUUUCAGGCAUUGAACAUGUAGGUGGAGAUGUUAAAGUAUGAGCUUUAAACUGAAUUCCAGAAGAUCAACCGUCAUGUCAGUCUGUGGUAAUGUUGAUAUACGACAUGUCAGCUAUAAAGGAUACAAGCCUGUAUGACAAACUUUGGUCGUCAGCCAAAGCUUUAAGUGAAGCACGUAAAUGUCACGUGAUUCCACUUACUCUGAACGGCAUGAAAGAAUGUCGUUUUGGGGCUUGCUGUUUGUAAGGGUUUCAACACGUGUCCUGGAAGCUGUUAAAAUCAGUUAUUGCAGGCGGGAGAAUUCUGGGUUUGUAAGCUAACAAACCCAGAUUACAGCUGGUUGACAGGGGGUCUUUGUAACGGGCUCUAAGCUAGUAUAAAUAGUCUAAGGGACUGGGAAAUCAGAGAGGGUGUUGUUUGUAACUUCGUCUCUAAACUUGUAACUUGUUCUUGGUUAUUGAAUAAAAGCUGUUGCUCUGUUCUUCAGUGGAUGUAGGCUGCCUCCAGCCGAACCACUUAUAUUUGUUGUUCUUUGCAUAUUGUUUCUGGGUGAUUUAGAUGUGUGAAAUUGGUUUAACCUUUCUUGAAACAUUGAUUAGAGAGUUCAGCUAGAUCCUGGAGAUUCUUGAUUGGAUAAUAAUUCUGGUCUAGGUUCAACAAAUUGGUAUCAGAGCCUUAUCUCUGAUCUUUGAUCCAAGAAAUGGGAACCUCUAAAUUUGAGGUAGAAAAAUUCACUGGAGAAAACGACUUCCAUCUAUGGCGGCUCAAGAUGAGAGCUCUGUUGGUUCAUCAGGGGCUGGAGGAGACUUUGGGUGAUCCAAGAUCUGAAAAGAAACCCAGCAAGCUUUCUGAUGAUGAAAUGCGAGAUGCUUUGGAUAAAGCUCAUAGCACACUAAUCUUGAGUCUGGGAGAUGGAGUUCUCAGGGAAGUGGGAGAUCAAACAACUGCUGCAGGCCUCUGGAUAAAACUUGAAGACCUAUAUACCAAGAAGUCUCUAACCAAAAGACUUUGUACCAAAAAUAGGCUGUAUACUUUGCAAAUGGAGGAAGGAAGCUCUCUGGCAACUCACAUUGAUAGCUUUAACAGGAUCAUCCUGGAUCUUGAAGAUAUCAAUGUGAGUCUUGAGGAUGAAGACAAGGCAAUAAUCUUGUUAGCAUCUCUCCCACCAUCCUAUGAACACUUUGUAGAUACACUGCUCUAUGGAAGGCAGUCAAUAUCAAUGGCUGAUGUAAAGGACUCUCUUAGUUCUAAAGAAGUCACAAAGAAGACAGAAACAAGAGCUGGGGAAGGUCUGAUGGCAAGAGGAAGACCUGAGAAGAAAGAAUACAACAAAGGGAAGAAAAGGGACAAGUCAAAGUCCAAGAAUAAAAACCUGAAAUGCUUUCAUUGCCAUAAAGAAGGGCAUUUCAAAAGGGACUGUCCAGAUAGAAAGAACAAGGAUAAAGAAGGGCAUGGAAAGAAUGGUGAUGCUGCUGUUGCAUCCGAGGAUGAGGGCUAUGACUCAGCUGGUGUCCUUUUGGCCUCUGAAACUCAGACAAACAGUAAGUGGAUUCUUGACUCUGGAUGUUCAUAUCACAUGUGCCCUGAUCAAAAUCUUUUUACUACUUAUAAUGCUUUUAAUGGAGGUGAGGUUCUGAUGGGGAAUAACACAAUGUGUAAGGUUGUUGGGUUAGGAACCAUUAGAUUUAAGAUGUUUGAUGGGAUGAUUAGGGAGCUAAGAGAUGUAAGGCAUAUUCCUGAUCUAAAGAGGAAUUUAAUAUCUCUAGGCACUCUAGAUCAAGUUGGAUGCUCCAUUAAAGUUGAAUAUGGGGUAAUGAAGGUUGUUAGAGGGUCUAUAGUGGUUAUGAAAGGGAAUAAGCAAAAUGGCUUAUAUGUGCUUCAAGGCACAGCUGUAACUGGGGAUGUUAGUAUCUCAGCAAGUCUGGGUUUGGAUAAAACUCUCAUAUGGCAUCUAAGGUUAGGACAUAUGAGUGAGAAGGGGCUAAAAAUUUUAGAAAAACAGGGAGUCUUAGGGGAUGAUAAGUUGGGAUCUCUGGAGUUCUGUGAGGUAUGUGUCCUAGGCAAGUCCUCAAGAACUAGUUUCAAAACUGCAGUGCAUAACACAAAAGGGACCUUAGAUUACAUCCAUUCAUAUCUGUGGGGGCCAUCACAGACUGUCUCUUUAGGUGGAGCAAAAUACUUUCUCUCUUUUAUAGAUGAUUACUCGAGAAUGGUAUGGGUUUAUGUCUUGAAAGGCAAGGAUGAAGUCUUCGAGAGGUUUAAACAAUGGAAAGCAUUGGUAGAAACUCAGAGUGGUAGGAGGAUUAAGAGACUGAGGACUGAUAAUGGGCUUGAAUUCUGCAACAAACAGUUUGAUGAUUUCUGCAAACUCAAUGGCAUAGCAAGACACAAAACAGUGAGUUACACUCCACAGCAGAAUGGGCUAGCAGAAAGAAUGAAUAGGACUUUGAUGGAUAAAGUCAGAUGUUUACUGAUCCACUCAAAGCUUCCUCAAACACUGUGGGCUGAAACCUUGAUGACAGCAUGUUAUCUAGUGAAUAGAAGCCCAUCCAGUGCCUUAAACUUCAAGACACCAGUAGAGAUGUGGUCAGGAAGGGCAGCAAAUUAUUCAAAUCUAAAGAUCUUUGGUUGUCCAGCAUAUGCACAUGUCAAGCAAGGGAAGCUGGAGCCAAGAGCACUGAAAUGUGUAUUCCUGGGUUAUCCUGAAGGUGUCAAAGGUUAUAAACUAUGGUGCACUGAAAUGAGGCCACCAAAGUGCAUAGUCAGCCGAGAUGUAGUCUUCAAUGAGUCAGAGAUGUUAAUGAAAGGACAUCAAAAGGAUCCUGCUAAACUAGAAGGAGGACUUGACUCACAGGGACAACAUUUGAAGGUGGAGUUUAAAGGUAAAUCAGCUCUGGACUACCAUGAUGAAGCUGAAGACAUGGAGAGAGAAGAUGCUGAAGAUAUCAGUGAAGCUUCUGGAACUCAUACAGAUAUUCAAGACUAUCAGCUGGCAAGAGACAGACAAAUGAGAGUUAUUAAAACACCUAAGAGGUUUGCAUAUGCAGAUUUGAUUGCAUAUGCUCUAACAGCAGCCCAUGAAUUAGACAAUGAUGAGCCCAAAACCUACAGAGAAGCUGUUUCAGGAAAGGAUGCAGAUAAGUGGAUAAAAGCUAUGAAGGAUGAAAUGGAGUCAUUACACAAAAAUAACACCUGGAAGCUUGUAAAAGGGCCAGAAAAUAAAAAGGCAGUAGGCUGUAAAUGGGUUUACAAGAUCAAGCAGGGUAUACCAGGGGUUGAAUCCAUGAGAUAUAAAGCUAGGCUGGUUGCCAAAGGCUACACACAGAGGGAGGGGAUUGAUUUUACAGAAGUCUAAUCACCUGUAGUUAGGCAUACCUCAAUAAGACUGAUCCUAGCUCUGGUUGCAGUUCAUAACAUGCAUCUUGAACAGAUGGAUGUUAAGACUGCAUUUUUACAUGGUGAGCUUGAAGAACAAAUAGUAAUGUCUCAACCUGAAGGCUUUGAAGACCAGUCAAAUGGUGAUUGGGUAUGCCUUCUGAAGAAAUCACUUUAUGGCCUCAAGCAGUCUCCAAGACAGUGGUAUCUCAGGUUUGACAGCUUUAUGAUAAAACUUUGUUUUCAGAGGUGUAAUCUAGACUGCUGUGUUUACUACAAAGAGAUAUCAGGGGACAUGGUUUAUCUGAUUCUGUAUGUGGAUGACAUGCUUAUUGCCAGCAAAAGCAUAGGACACAUAAAUUUUCUGAAACAACAACUCAAAGGUGAAUUUGAGAUGAAGGAUCUGGGACCAGCUAAGAAGAUACUUGGAAUGCAGCUAAUUAGAGAUUGGAAAUCUGGCACCUUGUUUCUUACACAGGAAGAUUACAUCAGGAGAGUACUUGAUAAGUUUGACAUGACUACUGCCAAACCAGUGCAAACACCAUUACCAGCCCAUUUCAGAUUAUCAGAACAACAGUGCCCAAUAACUGAUGCUGACAAGUCUGAAAUGAUAAAAAUACCUUAUGCAAGUGCUGUAGGCUGCUUAAUGUAUGCUAUGGUACUCACCAGACCUGAUAUAGCACAUGCAGUCAGUGUGGUCAGCAGGUAUAUGUCUAAUCCUGGAAAAGAACAUUGGAAGGCUGUAAGGUGGAUACUCAGGUAUCUAAGGGGAACUUCUGGGCAUGGUCUGAUAUAUAGGGGACAGAGAAGAGAUGGCAGUUUAAUUGUGGGAUAUGUGGAUGCUGAUUAUGCAGGGGACUUGGAUAGAAGAAGGUCUUUAACUUGCUAUCUGUUCACAUUCAACAAUUGCACAAUAAACUGGAAAUCACAGCUACAGAGUGUAGUGGCUUUGUCCACAACUGAAGCAGAGUACACAACUGCUGCUGAAGCCAUAAAAGAGGCAAUAUGGCUGAAGGGUAUGUUGAAGGAGCUUGGAGUCAAUCAGAGGUCUGUGGUGAUACAUUGUGAUAGCCAAAGUGCUAUAUGCCUAAGCAAGAAUCAAACACACCAUGAAAGAACCAAACACAUUGACAUUAAGGUGCACUUCAUCAGGCUGGAAGUCUCAAAAGCAACUGUAAUGCUUCAGAAAAUCCAUACAGAUGACAAUGUUGCAGAUAUGUUGACUAAAGCUGUUCCAGGAGCUAAAUUCAAAUUCUGUUUGGAUUUGGCUGGCAUCUGUGAUAAUUGAAAUACAGAUGGUAGAAGAGAAGAGUAGCAGGUCAUGAGAGUUUCAAGCUCAAGGUGGAGAAUGUUAAAGUAUGAGCUUUAAGCUGAAUUCCAGAAGAUCAACCGUCAUGUCAGUCUGUGGUAAUGUUGAUAUACGAUAUGUCAGCUAUAAAGGAUACAAGCCUGUAUGACAAACUUUGGUCGUCAGCCAAAGCUUUAAGUGAAGCAUGUAAAUGUCACGUGAUUCCACUUACUCUGAACGGCAUGAAAGAAUGUCGUUUUGGGGCUUGCUGUUUGUAAGGGUUUCAACACGUGUCCUGGAAGCUGUUAAAAUCAGUUAUUGCAGGCGGGAGAAUUCUGGGUUUGUAAGCUAACAAACCCAGAUUACAGCUGGUUGACAGGGGGUCUUUGUAACGGGCUCUAAGCUAGUAUAAAUAGUCUAAGGGACUGGGAAAUCAGAGAGGGUGUUGCUUGUAACUUCGUCUCUAAACUUGUAACUUGUUCUUGGUUAUUGAAUAAAAGCUGUUGCUCUGUUCUUCAGUGGAUGUAGGCUGCCUCCAGCCGAACCACUUAUAUUUGUUGUUCUUUGCAUAUUGUUUCUGGGUGAUUUAGAUGUGUGAAAUUGGUUUAACCUUUCUUGAAACAUUGAUUAGAGAGUUCAGCUAGAUCCUGGAGAUUCUUGAUUGGAUAAUAAUUCUGGUCUAGGUUCAACAUGAGACUUGUUUGAAAGUGUUCUUGAGACAGAUACCAUUUUCAUGAAGGUUAUAUGUGUGUGUGUGUGUUAUUUGAAAUUAUCGUUAUAAGGAAAAAUUGAUUUAGGGUGAAUCACACUUUUCUCCCUAAUAUUUUGUAGAUUUACCUUAACCUGUUACUCACUUGAUAUUAGAAUUUUCCCAAAAACACUUAAAAGGAAUACCAAAAUAUUAUGAAAACUGUAAAAAAAAAAAAGGUUAAUUCACUGUAUACGUAUGUUUUGUUCUAUAACAUAAAUUGAUCAUAUAUAUUCAGAUUAAUAGAUCUAAUGAGAAUUAACAUGAAUAUUAAACUUUUGCAGUGGGUCCUUAAUGGUUUUGAUGAUGAGCAGUCCUUGAAAUUGUUGAAAAAUUGUUACAAAGCUCUUCCGGAUGGUGGGAAAUUGCUUAAUGUUAAUGCAGCAUUUCCAGAAGUGCCUGAGAAUAGCGCGACUUCAAGGGAGAUCUCCCUCUUGGAUACAAUUUGUUUAAUCCAAGUUCCUCAUGGAAGAGAGCGGACCAAACAAGAAUACAGUGAAUUAGCAAUCAAAGCUGGAUUUAAAGGCGUCAACUACGAAUAUUGUGCAUGCAAUUUAUAUGUUAUGGAAUUCCUCAAAUAAUAAAUUGCUUUAUUUGUAUUAGGAAAGGUCUUCUCAACUCUGUUUGGGGAGUCACCAAUUUCUGGUUUGUGUUACUUAAUUUUUCUUCUCGUUUGGCCUUAGCGCUUCUCUUAUGUACUCUUUUUCAUUCUAUGAACAUUUGUUUCUUUAAAGGAGAUUGACUGCUUUAACAUAGCUCUUAUGCACUCUUCUCCAUUUUAAUUUUUAUCGAGGAAAAAAAUAGUGUAUUCAUCUUACUUUGUUAUUUUUUUUCUUUUCCUGGUUAUUUCAAAGUUAUGUUGUGCAAAAAUCAGCAAUAUAUAAUUAAUAAUUUAAAGUAAUAAAGUUUGAUUUUUGAACGUAAUAAAAUACACAGUAAAUGAAUCAAAUGAAGUCUGAAAAUAUAUUGAAAAUGGAUUAUAGAGAUAUUAAUUUUUUAUUAAACAACUACUGAGAGCUAAUGAUGUAGAACGUUAUUUUAGGAAUUUUAAAAUUUUAAAAUUUUAUUAUUUUAGGAUUUUCUAUUUUAAUUAGAGUCAAUUAUGAUAUUCUAUUAUUUUAAAACUUUCUAUUUUCAUUAUAGUCAAUUAAAGUAUGAGAUUUAGUUAACUUAGGAAAGUAUCUUUUAUUUUCAUUUUAGAUUAUGAUUUAGUUUUUUAUUUUUAAAUUAGCUUAGGGAAAUUAUAUUUUAAUUCCAUUAUAAUUGUGAUUUAGUUUUCUUUUUGAGUUAAUUUACGGAAGUGAGUUUUCUUUUAAUAUAAAUAUUAAAUAGAGAGGUCUUGUCAUUUUUUUAGACUCAAUUAUUCUAUAAAUUUUAUUACAAAAUUUAUUUUUUCUAUCUUCUUUACAAUUCCACUUCGUAAGCUACUAUAGGUCAAAGGGGUUAAAAAAAUAGUAGAAGUCUUUCGAAACAAGUCACAUAUGACAGACACAUCAGAACUAGAAGUAAAUAAUAUAGUUUGCACAGGCAAAAGGAUUUCCAGCGUUUCGUCAAAGGCACAAUUGACCCAACGCCUGAUUGACCAAAACAAGUAGUUGAUUAUUGUAAUGGAUCCGCCACCAUACCAUAAAUUUUAUCUUUAUUCAACAAAGCCGUUGGAUGCAUUUUUGUUCAGUCUAACGACUGAAAUUAUUUAUUGGAGAAUUGAUGCAGCAACUUACAACCGUUGCAACGGUUUGUAUAUUAAUCUAAUUGCAUCAACGCGUUUUCCAAAAAUUUCUCAGCACUGCAUUAACAACACUAUUUCAUCUGAAAAUCGAUCUGGAGAUAGCAAUUAACAAACAAAAUUGGAACUGGAGGAUCAGAUUUUUUUGUUGUGAUUAAACAUUUGUGAUGAUUCGGUACAUGGAUAUGUUCUUUCACUUGCAGUCAAGCGAUGACGAAAUUAUAAUCAUCGCGGGGAAGUGCAACCAAAAGCUAGGGGUGAUGAAAGUUUAGGCAUAUAUCAAAUCAGAGUGAAUCUCGCGUCACUUUAAUCCGUUCUUGUGCCGAUUGAAUCACCCGAGGCAGUAAGUAAUUCCUUACUAAAACUAGUAAUUUUUUUUUUUUUAUUUGAAGAGAUUUAAAACUUGUAAUUACGAUUGGUUGAACACUUCACAAAUGAGUUAAUUGAACAAUUGGUAAUGGGGUGAUGUGAGGAAGUCUCCCGGGGCUAUGGCUGAGCUGAGGAAGCAAGUUGGAUGUAAAAUGAAAUUCUUUGUGCGAACACAAUGGAACCAAUAUCAGUUCAAUCUCUAUAUGAUAGAGUUCAAGUAUAGAUUUUACUAUUUGAGGUACGUUUUAAGUUCAUAAUCAAAAUUUACAUUUUUUGAAACAACCAUUUGUUGUAUGAUGGGUGAGGAACAAUAACAUUAUCAAUUCCCUCAGGCUAAAGGACACUACAGCCUUCUGUGUUAAGCCGUUUGCUUCAAUUUUCCAUUUCUAAUUACAGCUUCUUUAUCGUCAACACCAUCCUUAACCUUAAGUAAGCUUUUUUCUUUUAUUAUUAUUAUUGUUGUUGUUGUUGUUGCCUGAUUCAUUGAACUUUUCCAAUUUUGAAGUCGGUUAGUGAUGCUUUGAGCAAAUUUGGGAUCACAUUCGUUAAUUCGUUUGCUUUACAUGUUAAUAAAUAAUAGAGCAAUUUUAAAACUGCAUGUAACCUGUUUGAAAAAAUUUCUUCUAUAGAUAACUUUUUUUUCCUAGUCUAUUGGUUGUGAAUAAUGUUGUGAAGUUGAUAAAAGAUGGGAAUUCUUUAGUUUUGAUUUUACUCUUUGAGGAACUAUAGAACAUGACAAAUAGAGUUUGUUGUGUGAGGGGCACAUGUUCUCUCACAAGUGCUUGGUUCUUUAAUAUACAAAUAUAAGACACCUUAUGAUGAAAAAUGGAGUUGAUAAACUGACUCCAGACUAUCUGACCCAUUACAUUUUGGAUUUCGAUUCUUAGAUGAGAUUCCUCUUUCCAUUCUUUCAAUUUUCAAAUUUACUAGUGGCACUUUCAUUUGGUAAACUACACACACACACACACACACACAUACAGAUAUACACUAAUCAAUUAUAUUGACUUAUUUUCGUUUUCUUUUGAUUCAUGCUGCCGAUAUAUAUAAAAUUUUAUUUGUCAAAUUUAGAGGAGAAUUAGUUUUGCUACAUAUAGAUAAUGAACCCAAAUAUGUUUACAUGCAUGUCUGGGGUUUGUUUUAUCUUUGAGGAGCAGCAUUACCCAUCAAAAGUUUGAAGAGCUCUGUGAACUUAAGCAUUCGGGGUUGAAAAUGGAUAAGAUAUAUGCAGUGGAGUUAAUUAGAAGAGCUACUAGAGUGCCAAAGUUGCAGGUUUUCUCUAUCCUCUUUGUUUUGGUAGUUACCUGAGUAUUAAAUUCUUGAGGCCGGUAAGAUGGUAGACUUUAGCUCAAUUUAAGAGUAGAAAAUAAUAUAUGUUUACUUGUGUUAGUCUUAAUUUUUAAUCACUUAGCCUCAAAUAAGAAAUUUUUUAUGUUUGCUCUGCAAUGAUGUUAUUUAGUGUUAAUAGCUUUAUUUUGUUACUAUUUGUCUACACAGAUUCUUGUUCUCAAAAGACCUUUUACUUUAAAUAUUUGGCAUAAGGACAAUCUCAUUUAAUACCAUCAAUAAUUUUCAUUUUUUCUCAUUAGUUUUAAUAUGUUUGAUAACUGUAUGGUUAAGCAAUCUAUGCAAUGUUAUCUUGUCAUUAGUUUGAGCUCAUUUUUUAUUACAAUUAUGAAUAUUUGUUAUGAAUGAUAUCAUACUGGAAAAUAUUGUUAACUUGUUAAUUUCGUAAAUGUGAUAUCUUGUCAAAGUGACUAAUAGCAUUUCAUCAUGCUAUGAGUUAAACAUGGAACAAAUGAUGACAUACAGUUGUGGAAUGUGGCAGAUCUCCAGGACUCUUAUGUGCUCAUGCUUGCAGACGUAUAUUUUUGCUGCAUACUUUUAGGUUCGAUGGCUUUCAUUUCUAAUUGAAGUGUAUUUGAUUGCGGUGCAACGUGGGGUGACUUAUGUUGUCUUAUACAAUGAAAUGAGUGAUUACAUAAUUUAGGAAAAGCUCGAGUGUGGGUGAACGAUAUAGAGUGCUAUAUGAGUUAUGCUAACUGUUGUGACCUUGAUUUUGUAUUAUUGUUUGCAUUGAUUUUGGUUGAUAAACAAAUGUGUGGUGGAUCAUGGAUGGAUGUAUGGAUGAGGAUAAUAAAUAAAUGAAAAUAUACAUCAGACACAAGCAGAUAAAUUAAGGGUAAUGGAACUUGAUUGAGGUUAGUACUUCUUCUACUACAAAGCAAAUCAUCACCCACAGAAAUUCGUACAAGCAUGUUUCUGUUGGCAAGUUUAGCAGAUGGAGACAACAUAGGAGCUAUACGCACCAUUAUCUAAAAGAAGCAAAGUAAUGUUGUGUUUAUCAAAGUUUUCAAAUUAAUGAUGUGCUCGUCAAGAUUUUACACGUAACAAAUUAGACUGAAAUUUAACCGUCAUUUACAAAGAAGUUUGAUUUAUUCACUAACCGCAAACAAGUACAUGCUGCUUUGUUUGCUGUUUGUAGAAAAUUGAGUCACGUCGACUAAGUUCUAACAAUAAACAUUAGUAAAGCUUUUUAUAUAUCCUUAUUGGCACCUCUUUCAAGAAAAAAGAUAAUGUAGUCCAUAAUGUAUGCAUUAAGUUGUGUUUAUUUGCUAGAGUAAAAGUGAGGAGAGUAGAUUCAUUCUAAUUUAACAUUUAUUUGCCCAUUUAAAGAGGAGAGUAAGUGUCUCACUCUGUGUGUCUCUCUCAUUUUUUUGAAUGAAGAGUGAGAUUCCCAUUGUUAGGAGAUGAGAAUGAGAAUCUACUUUUACUUUUUUUUUUUUACUCUUCCCUUAUUAAGUAUAAUAUAAUUAUACUUAUUAAAAUAAAAUAAUAUUAUAUUUAUUUAAAAAUAAUAAUAUUAAUAAACUUAUUUAAAUAUAAUAUUAGUAUAUUCAUUGAGAAUUAAUAAUAUUACUAUAUACUAUCUUUAUUUGAAAAUAAAUAUUAUUAUAUUUAUUAAAAAAAUAAUAGUACUAUAUUUAUUUAUAUUUAAUAUUUAAUAAUAAUAAAUAGUUGAUUCUAAAAAAUAUUAAUAUUUUACUAUAUUAUUAAUAAUAAUGUUUCAUUUGUGUUGCUCUUGUCAAUAGUUUUUAAUUUACUUAUUUAAAAUUAUAAUAAAAUUAAUAAAAAAGUUAUGAUUUACAUAAUUAAAAAUAUUAAUAACUAUUAUUAAUGAAAUAAAUAGUUAUUUUAAAAAUAUUUUUUUAUUCAUUUUGCAAUUAAAACUACAACUCUAUAAAUGAGGGUAAAAUUAUCAUGUAAAUUAAUUCACUCUUAAUUCAAGACAAAGUAAACACAUAAAUGAAAUUUUGAUUAUAAAUUGGAUUCUAAUUCUUAUUUCACACCCGCAAUAUAGGUAAAUAACCUAUUUUUACUCCUACUUCACAUCUCCAUUCUAGGAUUUCAACUCCCUAAGAUUCACACUUCAAUUUGGGAAGUAGACGCUGCUUAAAUGUCAAUGUCAUAAGUCUAUCGAACUGAUAUAUAAAUUCCUCAUCAAAUAACUUCAACGAUUCUUUACAAAUCAUUUUAGGAAAUUACUACUGAUCACUAGCUUUUGAUUCCAUCUCCUUCUAAAUUGCUAAGACAAAUUUGUUUCCACCUUUAAAUAGUUAGUAACCACUGUGCAUAUUUAUCUAACCUUAAGGUUGCUACUGCAUCCAACCAGAUAUUGUUACCCACCACCAUAGUUUUCUUACACCCACAUUUACCUUUUAACAACCUACUUGACCGGUAUGCAUAUAUCUAACGUGGCCAUCUUGAAAGACGUUGGAUCGCUUUGGAUUUUAAAGCAACAGUUAGUUGGAAUAACGAAAGAAUUUGAGGUACCUUACCAUAGUUGCAACAUAGGCGAGUCCGAUUGUAAUUAUUGUGAAUAUAGUCCUUUCUUUUACAACGCGUUAAAUAUGUUUAUAUAUUUUGUAAAAAGUCAAGCAAUGAGAUGAAGGGAACGAUUAUUGUUUUCACCAUAUCAGGUAUCUCAAAUAUUUUUCAUGUUCUGUGUGCCUUCUAGAGGUGCACGGUGAUGGGUGAAAAGAGGAAAAUGAAAAAACAUAAAAACAAAAUUAUAAGUUCCUUUAAUGAGGGGUCGUUUUGGUUCGAUAUGUGUUGGAAAUUUUUUUUGGGUGCCAACUGUCGCUAUCUCCGACUUCAAAAAUUGUCUUGUAAUAUUAAUAUAGGCCCCAAGCCCCCAACCACUUUGCCUCUGUGAUUAAGAACCUCAUUCUUUGCCUUUUAGCUAACCCACCGCUGCUGUAAAAGUCAAUGAUUUUGUUUAUUUUUUUGUGUCAACUGAAUUGAAAGCUUUGUCCACUUUUAGCAAAGUCCCAUAAUGGGUUCAACUACGUUACGGCAGUGGCACGUAUCAUUUCUUUUUGUCUUCUGUGACAAGUUUUCAUAUAACCUCUUCUACUCAUUUUUAUUUAAUAUUUAUUCUAUAAGUAUUAAGUUAAUUUCUAUCUACACUUACAGCUACAUUUCGGUCAGCUCUUUAUACUAUUUUAUAUUUAUAGAUUUUUUGUUCAAUGUUGCACAUGUAUCACAAUGCCCCCUCUUUAUUAUUUUGAAGUUAAAUCAUUGACAUGUUUAAUUUAAAACCUUACACUCCUUUUUAAUUAUAAUUUUUUUUAAUUAUUAGGGUAGUUUUUUACAUUUGCUAUCACUUAUAUACUCUUUUUAUUUUGAAUUUUUUUUAUAGAUAUUAUGAUACUUUUUUCUUGUAUUCAUAACAAAUUAUAUAAUCCCAAUAGUUCUAUUACAAAAGUAUUAUAUUUUUUCACACUCUUAUUUUUAUUAUGUUAUUUAAUUCAAUUAUUUUUAUAUUAUGGGUGCAUUUAUAAUUGUUUUUUGCUAUAUUCGACCUCUAGACUCGUGAUUUUGUUAGUAAUCACCUGCUGUUUACUGUUAUAUUUUCAAUUAGACCAAUAAUAUUUUCUAGGUUUUGUAUGGUUUAUUAUGUAGUUUUUCAUAUAAUCAUAUACUUGUUUUACCUUGGUCUGGAUUUGGAGAUUUUGCAAUAUUUAUGGACACAUGGCGCAUUGUAAGUGGCUAUAGAUUUUAGAACUUACAAGAUAUAUUAACUAAUAUUAUUUAAAUUUAUUAAUAAAAGAAACUUAAGUAAUUAGUAGAUAUAAUUAUUAUUAUUAGAAAAUUUUAAUUUAUUAUAAUUUAAUUUGAUCAUCAACUACUAACCGUAUUAUGCAAACAAUGGGGCAAAUCUUAGUGUUAGCAUUAUUAUAAUUAUUACUGUUAACUACAAUUUUAUGUGAACUUGAGUAGCUAGAAAAUAUAAAUAAGAAUUAGUUUGUAUUUCUCCUUUCUUUUGAUUGGUGAUUUAUUUCUACUUUCUCACUAGUAAUAUGCCAGAUAGAAGAAUAAUUAAGAAUUGCAGAUUCACAAGGGUUGGAAUUAGCAUUGAUUUUGUAAUGAAUUUUUAUGAUUAAUUUGAUUGUCUAUAUAUAAAGCAUAGACAUGCGGUUGCAUAGUUAUAGUGGUUUAUUUAAGCAAGGAAAAAUUAAUAGGCCAGUGGAUUUGGUAUUAAUUGGUUGAAGUAUGUAUGUAUACAUAUCCCAUCUUUUCAAUGUCACCACUACCUGUUUUUUCUCCUUUAAUUUGACAUUAUAUUAUUAAUUUUUUUUUUAACUAUCUAUGAAGGAUAAGAAAUUUUACUAAAUUAUAGUUCAAUAUAGCCUAAUGAGAAAAAAAAUAAGGCAAUACAACCUAAUACAACAAAUAAUGACGAACUAAAUGCACCCAUAAGAUAAGAAUACUUAAAUUAAAUAAAAUGAUAAAAACAACAGUACAAAAGAAAUUACAAUAUUUUUUGUAAUAGAACUAUUAGGAUUACAUAAUUUGCUAUGCAUGUAAGUAAAAAGUACUAUAAUAUUUAUUAAAAAAAAAUUGUAAUAUAAAGAGUGUAAAGUAUUAAAUGAAAUUUGAGAGUAGAUUUAAAAAAAUCCUAAUACUUAAAAAAAAUGUUUAAGGUUCUAAAGUAAACAUGUCAAUUAUNNNNNNNNNNNNNNNNNNNNNNNNNNNNNNNNNNNNNNNNNNNNNNNNNNNNNNNNNNNNNNNNNNNNNNNNNNNNNNNNNNNNNNNNNNNNNNNNNNNNAAGUGGUACUACUAAUGCAACAUAUUUGAACCCUAAUUUUAAAAAAAAGUAUUAAAAAUUGUGACUAAUUUUAGUUUACACCAGCUGGAAUUUGUAGAAGCAAAUGCCAAUCAUGCCUGGUGUGCAAUUAAUAAUGUGGGCGAAGACAAUUUGGGAGCUUGGAACUCUCCAAACUCCAAUGAGAUAAUAAAAUACGUUAGUUAAUAAAACUAACUAGCAAGUAGCAAGCACACAUUAUCAUUUUAUUUUGUAUAUGAAAAUUUGACACUCUUUAACAUUGUGUUUUUUCGUUUAUGUUUAUUAUGAGCUCGACUUUUUGUUCAUGAAAAUUUGACAUUCUUUAACUUUGGCGGGUUGGUAAGUGUAUAACGAGCUACACUUAUUUAUUUAUUUGGAAAAAAGACACAUAUUUACAUUUGAGAAAAUAAUCAUAAAGACAUCUAAAUUUUUAAAAAGGGACUCCAAAUCUCCUUUUUAAUUAUAAUAUCCUUUGGUUUAUAAUUGAAAAGUUGACUUUAAAAUUUUUUAAUUAAUACAAAUUUAAUAUAUGUAAUAUAAUCUAUCUAGUAGACUAAUAAUAUUAAAUUAUUUUUAACAUUUAAUAUAAUAUUAAAAAUUUAAAUUAUUACAUUUAUUUUAAUAAUACAUUUUUAUUUAUUAUAAAGAUUUAAAAAAUCUCUGUAUUAAAUAUAUUUUGCAAUUAACAGAAUAUAUCCAUGUUAAUAAUAAUAAUAUUAUUAUUUUUUCAUAAUAUUCGAAAUAAUUUUAAUCUUUUAUUCUAAUAUUAUGUUUCUAUCUAUUAUUAAAAAUUACUUUAAUUAUAAUAUAAUUGGUCUAAUAUAUUGUAAAAUAUUAAAAUUAUUUUAAAAUGUCGAUAUUAUUACAUUUAUUUUAAUGCCACAUUUCUAUUUAUUAUAAAAUUUUAAGGUCAAUUAUUUUGGGUUUAUAAAGUCAAAGGGUAUUAUUAUAAAAAAAAAGCCUUGAUGUCCCUUAUUAAAAACUUGAGGUUCUUGUAAUCAUUUUCCAAAACUAUGGAGGUGUAUGUGUCCUUUGUUGUAUUUAUUUUUAUGAAAAUUAAAGUUUUUUUUUAAAAAAAAGAAUCCAAUGAAUUCAAUCUUCAAAGAGUGUGAGAAUCAAAAGCUUAUUCUACGGUUAUUGCUAAAUAUGAUAGAAGAUAAUUGACGUAGUUGUUAUCUAGUACUAUGUCAAUCCCAGAUUGAAUUUGGUUUAAUAUUCUCCAAGAGUGAUAGUGUAUGCAAAUGUUUCAUUUUAAAUUUUCUUUAUUUAAUCUAAUGGCAAAUAAAAUUUUCUCCCAUCCGUAUUAACAGAUUCGAACAAAUAUUUUGUUUUUAGUUCAAGAAAUUUUACCAAUUAUAUAUGUUAGUAAUUAAUAUAAGAAGAAUUACUAAUUUACAAGUUGUGUUAAGUUUUUGGACUGAGAAAACUAAGGUAGUAUUUGUUCUUUUAUCUAAAAUCUGGAUGGAUUUGAAUAUAAUUGAAGUCUGAAUGGAUCUGAAUUCAUGUGUAAGAAUAAUAUGCUUGUUUUUUUUAUUUUUUGACAUCAAAUGUAGCAGUAAGUUAUUUAUUUUUAUAAACUCAAAAUAUCUUAAAUAUAAUAUUUUUAUACUUAUGAUCUUGAAAGUGUUAUGUAUACUUGAAAUUUUUAAUAGGUAUAUAUAUACAGUGUUUUCUUAACUAAAUAAGUUCAUGCAAUUGAUUGUUGUUAUUAUCGAAUAAUCAUUUUUAGGUUGCCUUUAUUAGUUUAACACAAUGCUACUUUGUCAAAAAAAAAAAGUUACCAUUAUUAUUAAUAGGUCGGCGGCGAUCAUUUUUUUGUUUUUUAGCUCACUGAUAAUUGACAUGGAAUAAGAUGUUUUAGAUAUAUACGAUAUAUUUUACAUAAUCACACGUACUCGUACCUUUUAAAAUACUUAUCAUAAUGUCAAAUAUUUUUAUAUUAUUAUGAAUUGUUGAAAAAUUAUUUUAGAACAAUAUAAAAAUAUCUGUAUACAUGGUAGUCAAACAACAAUUUGAGCAUUGCUAUUAUUUUCCGAAAAUAUAGCUAAGUUUUCUGAAUGAAUAGUGUCCCUUGGAUUCGGUUGGAUUUGAUGCCGUACGACAGAAUUGCUGUGGCCGGAGGGUAAUGUAGUCGCACUGGGCAAACAAUAAUUGACAUUUCACAUUCGGCUAUUUAUGAUGUAGGCCCAACUAUAUGUGUCCAACUUUGGAGGCUGGUAGGUAUAUGAUAUAUCCAAUUAAUAAGCUCCGCUUAUUUAUUUAUUUUUAUAAAAAUUCAAAUUUUUUUCCCCUAAAAAUAUCCGAUGGAUUCAUUCUUCGAGGAGUGUGCUAAAUAUACAAGGGAGCUUGCUAACUUACAGAUUCUGUAAGUUACAGCUCACUCACAAAUUUGAUUGUGGUUCCCACUCGGGCCCACAGCCAAUACUAUUUAACACUAUUCAUGUGAGGGUUGUUACUUACAGAAUCUGUAAGUUAGCCCUUUCCAUAUACAAGAUGAUAGUUGGUAGUUAUUGUCUAGUAAUAGAUCCCAGAUUGAAUUUGAUUUAAAAUCCAGGAGCAUCGCUCCCGCAAAUGUUUCAUUUUAAAUUUUCUUUGUUUAAUCCAAUGGCAAAUAAAUUUUUCUCCCAUCCGUAUUAACGGUUCGAACAAAUAAUUUUAUUUUCAGUUCAAGAAAUUUUAUCAAUUAUGUUAAUAAUUAGUACUCACAUAAUUAUUGUUGGGAAGUUUAUGGAUAAAACAAAUAUGUAACUAAAGUGAAAUUGAGAAAUAAUGAAACACAAAAUCACACAGGUACAUCAUAAAUGACGUGAUUCUGCUUUUAGUCUACGUUCACGGGCGAAAAUAGAUGAAAAAUAUUUUACUAAUGAAAAUGAGUUAUAAAUAUUGUAAUAUUUUAGCUCAUUUCCCAAAACUUCAAUACGCCCAAACUCUCAAAUAAUUAAACUCUUCUCAAAAUGAAUUUGAAGAGGAAGAGAAAAACUUGAUGCUGAGGACAGAAAUAAAGCCCUCUAUUUAUAGCUUCAUUUUGUGCCCUUUUUCAAUUAAAAUAAUUAUUAUAUUAUUAUAUUAUUUUUUUCUUCGCCCUGAACACUGCGGCACCUCUUUUUCUUCCUUUCUUUUUUUUUUUCUUUUGUUCCAGUCAAAGAAGAAAGCCACUCCUUCUUCAAAAUGGGCGGGCUCGACUUCUAGAAGGGUGGUGCCCGCAUGCCAUUUUUGUCAUUCUCCCACUUGGAGAUUUGAUUGCGAGACAAUCAUAUCUCCACACUAUCAUUUUUGUUUCGCCAUUGUCAUUGCUUACGUCUCUGCUAGGCCACAAGAUGACCUACUCUAGAUAAACUUGUUUGUAUUGAUCGACUUGAUCAAAACAUCUGUCAGGUUCUCCUUAGUAUGGAUUUUCUGCAAAUCCACACUUUCAUCUUCCACUAUUUCACGAAAGAAAUGAUAUUGUACCCCUAUGUGCUUUGUCUUGGAAUGAAAGAUUGGAUUCCUUGCAAUAUGCAAGGCACUUUGACUGUCACAAAACACAGAAAUUUUCUGUUGUUUGUGCCCGAGCUCCUUCAAUAAAUUUUGUAUCCAAAUAGCUUCCUUACAAGCUUGUGUAGCUGCCAUGUACUCUGCUUCUGUUGUAGAUAGAGCCACAACGGUCUGCAGUUUCAAAACCUAGCUUACAACUCCUUCUGCAAGUGUAAACAUAUAGCCAGUAGUUGAUUUUCUUUUAUCAAGAUCUUCUGCAAAAUCUUAAUCUACAUAGCCCCUAAUAGUAAACUCUGAUCUUCCAUAACAUAAUACAACAUCUGAGGUUCCUCUAAUAUAUCUUAAAAUCCUCUUCACAACUAUCUAAUGCUCUUUACCAGGAUUCGCCAUGUAUCGACUGAUUGCUCCCACUGCUUGUGCAAUGUCUGGUCUAGUAUAUAUUAUAGCGAACAUCAAACUUCCCACUGCUGAUGCAUAUGGUACUCGAAACACUUCCUUCCUCUCUGUUUCGUUGCUAGGACACAUACUUGAGGAAAAUUUGAAAUUAAUAGGAAGUGGGGUAGAAAUUGACUCACAAUCUUGCAUGUUGAAGCGUCGUAAGAUUUUCUUCAAGUAAUUCUUUUGAGAAAGCCAAAUCUUCUUGUUAUUUCUGUCUUGGUGAAUUUGCAUCCCUAGAAUCUUAUUUUUUGGUCCCAAGUCCUUCAUUUCAAACUCCCUAGCCAAUUGUGCCUUCAAUUCUUGGAUUCGAUCUUUGUUGGGGCCUGCAACCAGCAUGCCAUCCACGUACAACAACAAAAUAAUGAAAUCAUUAUUUUCAAAUCACCUGUAACAUGUACAAUGGCCUGAACUGAGUCUGUUGUAUCCAAGGCUCAUGAUGAAGGAAUCAAAUCUCUUAUACCAACAGCUCGGUGCCUGUUUGAGACCGUAUAGAGAUUUGUUCAACCUGCAAACCAAGUUCUCUUUUCGUUUUUCAGCAAAACCUUCUGGUUGGAGCAUAUAAAUUUCUUCUUCAAGUUUUCCAUGAAGAAACACAGUUUUCACAUUGAACUACUCUAGAUGUAGGUCAAAUGUAGCACACAUCGCCAAGACUACUAUGAUUGUUGUAAGUUGAACCACCGAGAAAAAUAUCUCGUUGAAGUCAAUACAUUCUCUCUAAGCAUAUCCUUUCACUACUAAUCUUGCACGAUAUCGCUCCACUUAGUCAUUGCCAUCACACUUGAUCUUGUAGACCCAUUUGUUUCUAAUGACUUUUCUUCCACGUGGUUGUGGUACAAGUUCCCAUGUCUUAUUCUUGUGUAGAGCUUCAAUUUCUUCAUGCAUUGCUGCCAUCCACAAAGUAACAUCUGAGCUGUUUAAAGUUUCAUGGAAAGUUGAUGGCUCUCCAUCCACUAUUAAAAGACAAUAUGCAACAUUGAUCUAUGUGACAUAACCUGAGUGCCACACUGGCGGUCGUCUCUCACAAGUUAAUCGACAAACUUCUAGAGCCUCGGACUCGAUUGGUUCUUGUUCCUCAUGCUCUGGUGCUGCUUCAGAAGAAUCUGAAUCUUCUGGAUUAUUUUCCACAUAUAUCGGCACAGUCUCUGACUUUUCUUUUACAGUGUUAUCAUCCAUAUCUCUCAUUUGCAGUUAAUCUUUUUCAAAAAUAACAUCUCUACUGAUGACGAUCUUGUGAGCAGUGGAGUCCCACAGACGAUAACCCUUUACUCCAUCAGCAUAUCCCAAGAAUAUGCAUCUUCUAGAUUUUGGAUCCAGCUUUACUCUUUCUUGUGCAUUGUACAUCACGUACAGGACAUCCGAAUGCAUGUAGGUGCGAGUAAUCUGCUGGCUUUCCAGUCCACAUCUCCAUCAGAAUCUUCAACCCAAUUAUCGUGGAUAGCGACCGAUUUACUACAUAAUAGGCAGUUUUGGUUGCUUUUGCCCAGAAUGAAUUAGGUAGACCCACAGUUCUCAACAUAGAUCUUAUUUUUUUUUGUAAGAUUUCUGUUCAUCUGCUUCGUCACUCCAUUUUGUUGAUGAAUGUAUGCCACCGUGAACUACCUCUGAAUACUUUCUUACUUAUAGAAAGUAAGAAACUCACCGUCUGUAUAUUCUCCACCAUUAUCUGUCCUCAAGCACUUUAUCAUCUUCCAAGAUUCAAGUUCUACAUAUGCUUUGUACUGUUUGAACACUGGAAACACAUAUGAUUUUUUUCUUAAUUGGAUACGCCCAACAUCUCCUGGAAUUAUCAUCAAUAAAAAUCACCAAGUACUUUGGACCUCCCAUGGACAUAUCUAGUGAUUCCCAAACAUCAGAAUGAACAAAGUCUAGAAUGCAUUUACUUCUGGCUUCAGAUCUUAUGAAUUUCAAUCUAUACUACUUACUUGUAACACAUUGCUCGGGAAACGGUAAGUUCACCGACUUGAGCUCCGAAAGAAAUUUUUACUCAGAGAGAAUCUUCUAACCUUACUUUGACAUAUGGCCGAGUUUGAGAUGCCACAUCAUCGUUGAUUCUUCUCCAUUCGACGCGACACACGCAUAAGCUUCCUGUGGUGUUUUUUUUUAAAGCAUGAAUAGAUUAGCAACGAUCUUUUCCGCCCUCAUCAAUACAAGCGCGCCUCUUGUAAUCUUCAUGAUCCUAUUUUCAAUAUGGGUUUUGCACCUAUGACUAUCUAUUUGUCCCAAAGACAAUAGAUUAUUCUUCAGGCCUUUGACAUGUCGUACCUCCCCAAUUGUGCUAAUUGUGCCAUCAAACAUUUUUAUUUUAAUAGUACCAAUACCAGUGAUCUCCAAGGCAUGAUCAUCUCCCAUAUAUACAGAUCCUCUUGAGAUAUGUUCAUAUGUGUGGAACCAUUCUCUCCGAGAGGUCAUGUGCCAGGUAGCUCCUGAGUCUAUGACCCAAAUAUCAGAUAACUGUUUUCUACCUUUUGAAACAGUUGUUGCCUCGCCGUAGAGAACUUCGUCAUCAUCCGAGGUACUUGCUACACACCCCUAAGCAUUAGGUUCUUUACCCUUUCUUCUCUUCUGGUUGUUCCAACAUUCCUCUUGACAUGCCAUUUCUUGCCACAAUUAUAGCAUUUAAUAUUCUUCUUACUUCUAGAUUUGGAUUUACCAUGAUUGUGACUCCUACUGGGGCCAUGUGCCGUUGAUCUCCCUCUCGUCACCGAUAGCGCUUCUGCUUAUUGCGAACUUACUUGUUUAUCUUCCUUACUUUUCUACCUGCUCUCCUUAUUUAAUACGGAGGCUGCAACAUCGUCGAAAACUAAACUGUUUGCUGGAUUAUUAUUUGUCAGGUUAAUGAUGAGUUGAUCAUAUGAAUCUGGUAGACUUUGAAGUAAAAGCUCUAAACGUUCAUUUUCCUCUAUUUUAUGACCCAACGUUGUGAGUUGGGAAAAUAGAGUCUUCAAAGUAUUGAUAUGGUCGGCCACCAAUGUAGAUUCCGCCAUUCGAAAAAAUAUAGAGUCUCAUUUUUUAAGAAAAUCUUAUUGUGCGGUGAUAACUCUAUGAAAUGAGAGUUAUUACAUCAAUUCUAAACUUGAAUCAAGAUCACUUAGAGAGCAAAUAAGGCGUUUUUAUUACAUUUUGGUUAUAUUUUGCAUAAACAUUCAUUUUAGUUGAGUCUUAAUAAGUUUUGCUUGAAUCAAAGUAAUUUGUGCUCAAAACAGGUGUAUAAUUAUAGAUUUUUAGAAAUCCUUAAUUCAUAAAUGAAUGCUGAGACAUUAGACUAGCAAGAGGAGGAAAGAAGAUGGCCACAAAAGAAGUAAAGAACAAUCGAGAACAAUGCAGUGUUGUAGCUGUUGUUAGAGCAACUAGUGCUGUGGUAAUCUGGGAGCAUUGAGGGAGAAAACUUAAGCGCGGGUAAGCUGCAGAAUUGCGAUCUGCAUGUUUUCUAAUUUAACUCAUGCAUGCUAGGGGUGGGUAAAAUAACCGAUCCGACCCGAUCCGAUCCGAAAUAAAUCGGGUUCAGAUCGGAUCGGAUUGACCAUAAUACCCGAUCGGAUGAAAUGUUGCCAACCUGAUCGGAUCAUAAUCGGAUCGGGUGAAAUCCGAUCCGAUCCAACAACCCGAACGGGUUGGCUUAAAGAAGAAAGUAAACAACCCUCACUGAUUACAACACACAUGCAUCCAGCAACAAGUAGUCAAGCACCAGUGAUGCCACAGAGCACAGGGCAACAGACCACACGCUACACAGCCUCACACACCACACACGUAUACGGCACACAUCACAGAUAUGGAGGCACAAAACCAGUAAAGAUAGAGGCACAAAAACAGUAGACCACACAUUCAACGCACCCAGCCGCACCCAGCAGCCUCACUCCCCUCCCUCACGCCUCACGGCCUCCCCCUCAAGCCUCAACGAGAGACCACACAGCACACACCAACCUUUGCUCCCCUCCCUCACGCCUCAUGGGUCAUUGCCCCACCCUCAAGUCAACACUCAACACCGCCAACGCCAAGUAGAAACACACACACACACACACACACAGCUGCAACCAACACAUGCUUGUCACAAUCACCGCUGACGCCAACCACCAGUCGAUCUACUGCUCAGCGAGGACCGCGACCAGAUAUGCUGCUCCGCGAGGACCGCGACCAGAUAUGCUGCUCCGCGAGGACCGCGACCAGAUCUGCUGUUACCGCCUACCGAUCUGCUGUCUCCGCGCCUCCACACACUUCAUUACCAAGUUUCUUCUCCAAGUUCCAUUCGUAAUCCAGCAAGCGGCAGCCUGAAUUUUUAUUUUGAGUUUGGAUUUUUGAGUUUAGUUCAAAUACGGACAGUUGUAAUGUGUAAUAUAUUAUAUAACAUAUGUUAAAUCAUUGAUUAGGAAUUGUUAACCGAACCCGAUCCGAACCGAAUUAAACCCAAUUUUUUUAUCCGAUCCGAUUCUAUUCGGAUCGGAUCAGGUCGGGUUGUCAAUUUGGGUUGAAUUCAUAUGAGUUUUUGUUCGACCCGAUCAACCCGAAAUCCGAUCGGGUUGAUCCGAACUCGAUUUUGCCCAGCCCUAAUGCAUGCCACAGACUUUUAUUUACCCUAGUUUGCAGUAUAAAAGGAGGGCGCGCACUACAUAAAAGACGGCAAUGAAUUAACAUUGGAGAAAUCGAGAGAAAAAGAAGAAAACAAUCAGAAUUCAAGAGAACCGAGUCUGCAUCAGUGAAGAAUCCAGCAGAGUUAUUUGGAUUCAAUCUUCAUCGUUCUCUACUUAUUCUUUUCUUUACUCUUUGAUUGAACCGAUGUCUUUCGUGACCAAUAUUUUGCUGUUUGUUUUUCUCAUUUAGAAUAUGAACUAGAUUUGCUUGUAGUUGAGUGACAAACAAUCUAAUGGGUUCUUGACUAUUCUUAUGUGUUGUUAUGUCAUUGUUGUAGCAUUUUAUUCUAGUAGUUAUUAUUAAUAUAACUGUUAUUUCGGUUGACCACCCAUUUAAUAGUUCAAGUUAAGAUAGAGCCGCAAAAGGGCAUGUCUUAGGGGAUAUUAUUAGAGUAUUACUUGAUUUUAAUUUAAGUUUCCUGGAUUAAGUUAUCUUGAAUCCCAUAAGGGCUAUACAUGAAGUUAAGAUUUGUGACACACUAGACAUAGGUGCUCACCUUGUAGGGUGGAGAGACUAAAGGGUCAUAAGGUCAUAUCAUAAGUAGAUUAGUAACUGGUCAUUGUUAAUAUAUUUAAGGGUGUGAGAGUUCCAAUACGCGACAGCUGAGGAUGCAGAUUAAUUAUGCCCAGUGCUGCAGCACUUGCCGUAACAAUUGGUGUUAACUUGAUGAAAAACAGUCAGCCUAUAAGGAGAGUUUGAUCAUUCAACUACCAUAGUCUCAAUUGAAUCUUAGACAUAUUUAAUUUAGUUUAUUUCAUUACAAUAUUGUUUUACUUUAUUCUCUCACAAUCAUCAAUUACGAUAGAACCCACUUUACGUUUAUUAACUUCGAACUUAAGUUAGUUUGCACUAUUGUGAUUGCUAUAGCAUUUUGAGUAACAUCAAUCCUUGUGGAGACGAUUUUGAAUAUUCAUCACUUUAUUACUUAUUGUGUAUACUUGCACAUUGGCAUUAGUAGCAUUUGAUUAUAAAAAUUACUAACAUGCGGCGAUGUGGCCUUGUACAAUUUUGUAAGAGUAUCUCAUAUUUCUUUUGCCGUCUUUUUCUCCUACACACUGGAUAACACCCCAUCUGCAAGUGCCAGGUGUAGAUCAGCAAUGGCAUUGCCGUCCAUCUCAUUCCACUUGUCAUCCUCAGUUAUCUCUAUGAGUCUUUCUCUAAUUAUUGCCAAGCAAUUAUUUUUCCUCAAAAUUGCCUGCAUUUUCAUUUUCCAUAAGGAGAAAUUAUUCUCAUCGAACUUUUCAAUUUUAUAUUUACUGCCAUUUUCUUACUAAAUACAGCACACAAGCUAGUGUACCACCCUGAAUAGUUAUGAGUAUGUGUGAAAAUGCACACCAGAAAAGUUCUCAAGAAAGACUGGAGUGGUCACAAUGGUCCCACUUAAAACCCAUACUCCUUAGACUCUUAUCGCCUUUGUGACAAAACUUUUCUAGACUUGUACAAAACCAUACAGUUGCUCUACUUACACCACUAUUCCUUGUUUUGCACUGCCAAAAUUAUUGGAUCGCUUCCAUCGUUUCUCAUUAAUAGUAUCAUAUAUAUAAAUAGUACCAUAUACAUGAAUAGCACCGUAUACGUGAACAAUACCCUUUACGUGAACAGUACCCCGACUCUAAAAAAUACAACCAAUAGCUCUGAAACCACUGUUGGGAAGUUUAUGGGUGAAGCAAAUACGCAACUAAAGUGAAAUUGAGAAAUAAUGAAACACAAAAUCGCACAAGGAUACCAGAAAUUACGUAGUUCGGCUUUUAAUCUACGUCAACGGGCGAAGACAGAAGGAAAAUAUUUUACUAGUGAAAAGGAGUUACAAGUACUGUAGUAUUUUAGAUCAUUUCUCAAAACCCUAAUACACCCAAACCUAAAAUCACUAAACUCUUUUCAAAAUGGAUAUGAAGAGGAAGAGAAAAACUUGAUGUUUAGGACGGAAAAGAAGCCCUCUAUUUAUAACUUCAUUUCUUAUCCUCUUUUCAAUUAAAAUAAUUAUAUUAUUAUUAUAUUUUUUUUCUUCGCCCUGAGCGGUGCGACACCUCUUUUUUUUCCUUUCCAUUUUUUUUUCUUUUAUUCCAAGAAGCAACGCCUCCUUCCUCAAAAUGGACGGGCCCACCUUCUAGAAUGGUCGUGCCCGCAUGCCAUUUUUUGUCAAUUAUUUGAUUUUUUUUAUUUCUUCGGUUCUUAUCGGUUGAACUAAUUUACAUGAUGAGUAGUGCAAUGUGUCCAUAUAUUACAUAUGAGUGGUAAUUUAUCACAAAUACAGUGACAUUUCAUCCAGGAGUGGCUGUCCUUGUUGAUAAAUUGAAAUUAGCGCAAACCUUGAGGACAGACAUGAAAAAAUGAGAACACGAGCAUGAUUGGUGAUGAGAUAUAAUAUAGCUGAACCCCUGCCUUGACUGAUUCAAUACAAAGGGAGGAAAAAAGAAGGAAAACAGGAGCAAGCAAAUAAGAAAGAAGCAAAUUAUAAUCAUGGCUUCUACAGCUGAUCAGGAAGAAGAGACAAAUAAUUUUUCAUAUGCAAUGGAACUGGCAAGUGCCAUAGUGCUACCUGCAGCUAUGCAAGCAGCGGUAGAGCUUGAUGUGUUUGAGAUCAUAAGCAAAGCUGGUCCCGGUGCUAAGCUUUCGGUUUCGGAAAUUGUGGCUCAAAUUCCCUUAAAAGGUAAUAAUCCUGAAACUGCAGCCAUGACGUUGGAGCGGGUGCUGAGGCUGCUUGUCAGCUACAAUGCUCUUCAUUGCUCUUUUGUUGAUGGACAAAGGCUCUACUCUCUUGCUCCUGUUUCUGCAUACUUCGUUCGCAAUAAUCAAAACGGCGCGUCGUUGCGUCCCUACAUGGCCUGGUGUCUUGACAAGGUCCUCAUGGAUGGCUGGUAUAUAGAAUUACUUUUUCUCUUUUCUUUUCUUUGCUAAUUUUAGUAAAUUAAGGAAAAUUAUCAAAACCUUCUAGUUGUAUAUAUCCAAAAAUUAAUCAUUUGUAUCACAUGUUUUGAACCCAUCAAAAUCCGUCAGCUGCUAAAAAGACAGCUAUCUUCAAUUAUUUUAUUUUGUUGUGGUAAAAAACAAAAAAAAAAGCUUAAAGUCCAAGCGUUUUUGAAAUAUGAAAGUAGAAAGGAUUGAUUGUAACAAACAAUUAAUAAAGUAUUCUUUAUCUUGGUUAAUUAUGCGGUCUAAUUUUACAAACUAAGCUUCUAAAAUUGUUACUAACUGUGUUUGGAUUUUGGAAAAUUCAGGUUUCGGUUGAAAGAGCAAAUUCUUGAAGGAGGAAUGGCGUUUAAUAAAGUGCACGGAAUGGAUAUGUACGAUUACAUGGGCGUUGACUCAAGAUUCAAUGAUGUUUUCAACAAUGGAAUGUCAAGCCACACUUCUGUCGUCAUGGAGAAGGUCCUAGAAUCAUACAAAGGCUUUGAGCAUGUUAAGAAGCUUGUUGAUGUUGGCGGCGGCUUAGGAGCUACUCUUAACAUGAUAAUUUCUAAAUACCCUCAUAUUAAGGGUAUUAAUUAUGAUUUACCUUAUGUUAUUAAAAAUGCCCCAUCUUAUCCUGGUAUGUUACUUACAAAAUUUAUAAAGUAUUUUUGUUAAUGAUUCAUUGAGAUACACGAUAGCUAACAAUUUUUUUUUUUUUUUUUUUAAUUUCAGGCAUUGAACAUGUAGGUGGAGACUUGUUUGAAAGUGUUCCUGAGGCAGAUACCAUUUUCAUGAAGGUUAUAUGUGUGUGUUAUUUGAAAUCAUCGUUAUAAGGAAAAAUCAAAAAUUGAUAUAGGGUGAAUCACACUUUUUCCCCUAAUAUUUUGUGGGUUGACUUUGGCCCGUUACUCAUUUGGUAUUAAAAUUUUCACAAAACCCCUUAAAGGAAUUCCCAAAUAUUAUGAAAACAGUAAAAAAAAAAAGGGGGGGGGGGGGGGGUGUAAAACUGUCUCUCUCUUUCUUUUUCUCUAGUUGUAAAGGGGUGGCCAAAGCCCAAGUUGAUUAUUUAAAAACCACUGGACUAGCUCCUGAUGCAAAGUGUCAAUCUUUCUGGAUUAUAUACCUACGUUUUGUUCAAUAAUAUAAAUUGAUCAUAGAUAUUCAGAUUAAUAGAUCUAAUGAGAAUUAACAUGAAUAUUAAACUUUUGCAGUGGGUCCUUAAUGGUUUUGAUGAUGAGCAGUCCUUGAAAUUGUUGAAAAAUUGUUACAAAGCUCUUCCGGAUGGUGGGAAGUUGCUUAAUGUUAAUGCAGCAUUUCCAGAAGUGCCUGAGAAUAGCGCGACUUCAAGGGAGAUCUCCCUCUUGGAUACAAUUUGUUUAAUCCAAGUUCCUCAUGGAAGAGAGCGGACCAAACAAGAAUACAGUGACUUAGCAAUCAAAGCUGGAUUUAAAGGCGUCAACUACGAAUAUGGUGCAUGCAAUUUAUAUGUUAUGGAAUUCCUCAAAUAAUAAAUUGCUUUACUUGUACUAGGAAAGGUCUUCUCAACUCUCUUUGGGGAGUUACAAUUUCUGGUUUGUGUUAAUUUUUCUCUUAUGUACUCUUUUUCAUCCUAUAAGCAUCUGUCUCUUUAAGGGAGAUUGACUGCCUUGUAAGGUAGCUCUUAUGUAAUAUUUUCCAUUUUUAUUUUUACUGUUGCAGCAUGUGAUACCUUUUUUUUAUCGAGGAAAAAAAUAGUGUAUUCAUCUUACAUUGUUAUUUUUUUCUUUUUUAAGUUAUUGCAAAGUUAUGUUGUGCAAAAAUCAGCAAUAUAUAAUUAAUAAUUUAAUGUAAUAAAGUUUGAUUUUUGAACGUAGUAAAAUAUACAGUAACUGAAUCGAAUAAAAUCUGAAAAAAUAUUGAAAAUGGAUUAUAGAGAUAUUAAUUUUUCAUUAAACAACUACUGAGAGCUAAUGAUGUAGGGCGUUAUUUUAAAAAUUUUAAGAUUUUAGAAUUUAUUAUUUUAGAACUUUAUAUUUUAAUUAGAGUAAUUUUGGUAUUUUAUUAAUUUACUACUUUCUAUUUUCAUUAGAGUCAAUUAAGUUAUGAGAUUUAGUUAACUUAGGAAAAUACCUUUUUAUUUCCAUUAUAAUUAUGAUUUAGUUUCCUAUUUUUAAGUUAACUUAGGGAAAAUAUAUUUUAUUUUUAUUAUAAUUAUGAUUUAUUUUUUCUUUUUGAGUUAGCUUAAAAGAGUGAGUUUCUCUAUUAUAAAUAGAGAGAUCUUAUCAUUAUUCUAUAAACUUUUAUUCCAAAAUUUAUUUACUCUAUCCUCUUUACAAUUCCUCUUCGUCAACUAAUAUAGAUCAAAGGGGUUAAAAAAAAAAGGUAGAAGUCUUUCGAAACAAGUGACAGAUGACAACACAAUCAGAAUAGAAGUAAAUAACAUAAGUUAGCACUGGCAAAAGGAUUUCCAGCGUUUCGUCUAAGGCACAAUAGACCCAACGGUUGAUAGAACAAAACAAAUAGUUGAUUUUUGUAAUUAUUGUGAAUAUAGUCUUUUGUUUUACAACGCAUUAAAUAUGUUUAUAUAUUUUUUGUAAAAGUCAAGCAAUGAGAUGUAGAGAACGAUUAUUGUUUUCACCAUAUCGAGUACCUCAAAGAUUAUCUCAAAUAUUUUUCAUGUUCUGUCUGCCUUCUAGAGGUGCACAGUGAUGGGUGAAAAGAGGAAAAUGAAAAAAGAUUUAAAAAAAAAUUAUAACUUCCUUUAAUGCGGGGUCGUUUUGGUUCGAUGUGUGUUGAAAAUUUUUUCGGGUGCUAGCUGUCGCUAUCUCCGACUUCAAAAAUCUUGUCUUAAAAUAUUAAUAUAGGCCCCAAGCCUAGGGAUGGCAAUGGGCACCGUCCGCAGCGGGUUUGCCAUUACUAAACCCAAACCCGCACAAAAUUUAAAUUACCAAACCCACCAGCAACCCGCAACGGAUUUUAAUUUUUUUUUAAAAACCCACCCGCAGCGGGUUUUAACAAUUACCAAACCCGCAAUGGUACCCGACGGAUUUUUUGCGGGUUUCCGUAUUUAAAAUCACAAAUGUUUAAUAUAUAAAUUUAUAAUAAUAACCUCAAAUUCCAUAUAACACACUCAAUUUUAUAUUUAAACAAUGUAAAUGAAAAAUUAAAAUUUCCACAUUAAUCCAACACAAAUUCUUAAAUUUAAGUAUAAAUUACACAAAUUCAUUUAAAAAACACAAACUAGUAUCUAAAAAUAAUAAUUACAUUUCAUAUUAUCAUUUAAAACAAGCUCCAAGAGAAGAUAUUCAUUUCAUUCACUACUAUAAGCACCCAUCCAACACAAUGCCUAUAAUAAUAAUUAAGAUUAAUAUUUUUAAAUACUAAUUCGAAGGAAAAUGCCUUUAGUUUUCUUUAGGUUAUGACUUUAGAAUGAGAGAUGGGCCACAUACACGCAUACACAACUUUGAACAUUUGGCUAUUUGGUAAUUUGAAUAAUGACAUUAUUUUCUUUAUAUAUUUUUAGAUUAAAAUUAAAUUAAAAAUAUUUGGAAAAAAUAUUACGGGUUUGGUGGAUAUCCAUGCGGGUAUCCACCGGAUAUAAGGUUAAUACCAAACCCACCCGCAUCCAUGUGCGGGUUUUAGUUUAUAAUACUAAACCCGCCCGCAACGGAUAAAAUUACCCGCAGCGGGCGGGUUUUGGCGGGUGGGUUUGGACGGAUUUACGGGUUUGCGGGUAUAAUUGCCAUCCCUACCCAAGCCCCCAUCCACUUUGCCUCUGUGAUUAAGAACCUCAUUCUUUGUCUUUUAGCUAACCCACCGCUGCUUUAUAAGUCGAUAAUUUUGUUUUUUGUUUUUCUUUUUUGUGUCAACUCAAUUGAAAGCUCUGCCCACUUGUAGAAAAAUCCCAUAAUGGGUUCCACUAGGUUACAGCAGUGGCACGUAUAAUUUCUUUUUGUCUUCUGUGACAUAUUUUCAUGUAACCCCUCUUAUUUAUUUUUAUUUAAUAUUUAUUCCAUAAGUAUUAAGUUAAUUUCUACCUACACUUACAGCUACAUUUCGGUUAGCUCUUUAUACUAUUUUAUAUUUACAGAUAUUUUGUUCAAUGUUGCACAUGUAUCACAAUGCCCCCUCUUUAUUAUUUUGAAGUUAAAUCAUUGACAUGUUUAAUUUAAAACCUUACACUCCUUUUUAAUCAUAAUCUUUUUAAAUAUUAGGGUUUUUUUUUUACAUUUACUACCAAAUUUCAUUUAACACCUUACAUUCUUUUUAUUUCGAUUUUUUUUUAUAAAUAUUAUGAUAAUUUUUUCUUGUAUUCAUAACAAAUUAUAUCAUCUCAAUAGUUCUAUUACAAAAAGUAUUAUAGUUUUUCACACUCUUAUUUUUAUUAUGUUAUUUAAUUCAAGUAUUUUUAUAUUAUGGGUGCAUUUAUAAGUUAUAACUACUUUUUCCUUUAUUUUCAUCAUUAGACUUAUAACUGUUUUUUGCUAUAUUCAACCUCUAGACUUGUGAUUUUGUUAGUAAUCAUGUGUUGUUUACUGUUAUAUUUUUUAUUAGACCAAUAAUAUUUUCUAGGUUUUGUAUGGUUUAUCAUGUAAUUUUACAUGUAACCAUAUACUUGUUUUACCUUGGUCUGGAUUUGGGGAUUUUGCAAUAUUUAUGGACACAUGGUGCAUUGUAAGUGGCUAUAGAUUUUAGCACUUACAAGAUAUAUUAACUAAUAUUAUUUAAACUUAUUAAUAAAAGAAAUUUAAGUAAUUAAUAGAUAUAAUUAUUAUUAUUAGAAAAUUUUAAUUUAUUAUAAUUUAAUUUGAUCAUCAACUACUGUAUCAAUUUGGCAACCGUAUUAAGCAAACAAUGAGGCAAAUCUUAGUGUUACUUUAUUAUAAUUGUUAAUGUUAACUACAAUUUUAUGUGAACCUGAGUAGCUAGAAAAUAUAAAUAUGAAUUAGUUUGUAAUAGAACUAUUAGGAUUACAUAAUUUGCUAAGCAUGUAAGUAAAAAGUACUAUAAUAUUUAUUAAAAAAUUUGUAAUAUAAAGAGUGUAUAGUAUUAAAUGAAAUUUUAUAGUGGAUUUAAAAAAAUCCUAAUACUUAAAAAAAAAAAGAGUUUAAGGUUCUAAAGUAAACAUGUCAAUUAUUUAAUAUCAAAACAGUAAAGAAGGGGUAUUGUUAUACAUGUGUAAUAUAGAAUAAAAAUUUAUAAAUAUUAAAUAUGUAAGGUGCUAAUUGAAAUGUGUCUAUGGAUGCAGGUAGAAAUUAACUUCGUAUUUAUGAAGUAAAUGUUAAAUAAAAAUGAGUGGAAGGGGUCAUAUGAAAUAUUACAGUGUACCGCCACAAAAGACAAAAUAAGUUCCACGGUACUCCUUAUGUAACAUAGCUGAACCCUACUUUUAAAAAGUAUUAAAAAUUGUAACUAAUUUUAGUUUACGCCAGCUGGAAUUUGUAGAAGCGAAUUCCAAUCAUGCCUGGUGUGCAAUUAAUAACAUGUGGGCGAAGACAAUUUGGGAGCUUGGAACUCUCCAAACUCCAAUGAGAUAAUAAAAUAUGUUAGUUAAUCAGGCUUUUUAAAUUUGAAUAGCAACAUCAAGUAUGUACAAAUGAAAGAAAUUUGCUGAGGGGGCUCCAGUAAGACGGAUGUGAUAGCUAAGUCCUCAUAAUUCAAUUAAAAAUUUCUAAUUUUACUGAAAUGAAUCAAUUAGUUGUUUAAAUAACAUGGAGUUUUAUAAUUGGGAUAAAUUAAUGAUACUAGUAAGCAUCUUUUGGUGAGAUGUCAUUUUUGAAAUUGCUCAAUCAUUAAUUCGGACAUCAUUGAUGGGGCUUGAGAAUGAGAUUUUAGCCUCUCUUAAAAAUUAUAUAUCACCACUUGAGUUAUUAAUAAAUUUUUUAUAACUCAUUUAAUUUUUUAUAUAAAAAUAAUACAAUAUUUAAAAAAAAAACAUAAUUGAAGUGUUAAUGUAAAUUCUUGACAAACAAAACAAUCUAGUUUUAAUUUGUGGAUAGGGUUUUCAUAUUCAGUUGCGGACCUAAAAAUUUUUUAAAACCCUUUGAGUUUUUUUUUUGUUUUUUAAAUUUUCCUAUAAUAAUAUAUAUAUUUUUUUAUUUUUUUAUAUAUGUCCCCAAUUUAAUUUUUUUUAAGAUUAGUGUUAGAGACUUAUUUUAUAAAUAAUUAAAUUAUUUGUCUUGAAUGAAUUGAAAGGUUAAAAUAUCAUUACCACUUUAACUUACAAAAAUGGUUAUUAUUUGGUCUAAUUGAAAGAAAAAUAUGCAUUAAAAAAUUGCCACUGUUUUUGAAAACUUAGAAAAUGUCAUAUAUUAACAACUAGCAAUAUUUUCAUAAUUUCAUGGUUUAUUUCCUUCACAAUCAUACCUUCGCUUUUUCUUUUCAUUAGAUCAAAUUAUUUAAAUAUGUUACCUUCUCUAUUAAAUGAUUAACAAUGAAUUUCAUAAAUAUUUUUAUAGCACAAUUUUAGUAAUUUAUAAUAUAAGCUUAUUUGUUGUACUGUUGCUGUUUAUUUCAUCAAGUAUAUGUAUUUUAUUAAGAUUUUUAAUGUUGUGUUACUUUGCAUAGCUCGUUAUAUGAAUUUUUUCACUCUUCUUCAUGUACUAACUGUUAUACAAAUUUUAAUGUACUCGCAAGUAUACAAGUCUACUGAGCAUAUCGNNNNNNNNNNNNNNNNNNNNNNNNNNNNNNNNNNNNNNNNNNNNNNNNNNNNNNNNNNNNNNNNNNNNNNNNNNNNNNNNNNNNNNNNNNNNNNNNNNNNNNNNNNNNNNNNNNNNNNNNNNNNNNNNNNNNNNNNNNNNNNNNNNNNNNNNNNNNNNNNNNNNNNNNNNNNNNNNNNNNNNNNNNNNNNNNNNNNNNNNNNNNNNNNNNNNNNNNNNNNNNNNNNNNNNNNNNNNNNNNNNNNNNNNNNNNNNNNNNNNNNNNNNNNNNNNNNNNNNNNNNNNNNNNNNNNNNNNNNNNNNNNNNNNNNNNNNNNNNNNNNNNNNNNNNNNNNNNNNNNNNNNNNNNNNNNNNNNNNNNNNNNNNNNNNNNNNNNNNNNNNNNNNNNNNNNNNNNNNNNNNNNNNNNNNNNNNNNNNNNNNNNNNNNNNNNNNNNNNNNNNNNNNNNNNNNNNNNNNNNNNNNNNNNNNNNNNNNNNNNNNNNNNNNNNNNNNNNNNNNNNNNNNNNNNNNNNNNNNNNNNNNNNNNNNNNNNNNNNNNNNNNNNNNNNNNNNNNNNNNNNNNNNNNNNNNNNNNNNNNNNNNNNNNNNNNNNNNNNNNNNNNNNNNNNNNNNNNNNNNNNNNNNNNNNNNNNNNNNNNNNNNNNNNNNNNNNNNNNNNNNNNNNNNNNNNNNNNNNNNNNNNNNNNNNNNNNNNNNNNNNNNNNNNNNNNNNNNNNNNNNNNNNNNNNNNNNNNNNNNNNNNNNNNNNNNNNNNNNNNNNNNNNNNNNNNNNNNNNNNNNNNNNNNNNNNNNNNNNNNNNNNNNNNNNNNNNNNNNNNNNNNNNNNNNNNNNNNNNNNNNNNNNNNNNNNNNNNNNNNNNNNNNNNNNNNNNNNNNNNNNNNNNNNNNNNNNNNNNNNNNNNNNNNNNNNNNNNNNNNNNNNNNNNNNNNNNNNNNNNNNNNNNNNNNNNNNNNNNNNNNNNNNNNNNNNNNNNNNNNNNNNNNNNNNNNNNNNNNNNNNNNNNNNNNNNNNNNNNNNNNNNNNNNNNNNNNNNNNNNNNNNNNNNNNNNNNNNNNNNNNNNNNAUAUCUAUUUAUAGAUAUAACAAUUAACUUCAAAUAAAAAUUAAUCUUAUAUAAAUUCUUUUAUGCCGCUUAAUAGUGUAGUAUCUAAGCAUCCCAUGUAAAUAAUAUGGAAUAACAAAGAUCAAAAAUUUUUCUAAGCAUUAUGUAUAAAUAAUUUAAUAAAAUAAAAAAAUAAUCACAUGAACCUUAGAGACCUAAGCAUAGGUUUAGUCAAAUAUUAAUUUUAACAAUAAAUAAUGUAUGACAGAAUUGUAAGAAAAAAUAACACAGUGAGAUAACAAUUUAAACAGUAGUUAAUUUAAACAACAAUGUAAACCAACAAUCGAAAACAACAAAUGAAGAAUAGAAGAGUAACCGAAACAGAAUUCAAUAUAUGCAAUUAAAUAGUUAAUCUUACUCAUGCAUGGUUAAGUGUUAAUAUAUAAACACUAAUCCCUAGGCUUAUUUUUCCCAUGUGGGAUAAGCCUCAUUUCCUUUCAAAUUUCCAACUUCAAGGGUGAACUUUGAGAGACAAUUUCUCAUUCACCCAAGCACCAUUUUGAGAAAAUAAGAUUAUACUUUUAAAGAAUCAACGGAGUAGAAUCCAAACCUCAUAAGAUUUUCCACUUUCAUUAAGUGGGACCCACUCAAAAUGUGCCCUCAAAAUAACAUAUAUACAUGCUAUUUUUUCAACAAGAAUUAGUGAAAAGAUUUAAUAAUAUCUAACUAAACAUAUAAAACAAGAACCAUAGGUAUUAAAGCUCAUAUAUAGAGAAUUAAUUAAAAAAGUAAUUUAUUUUAUUGAGCAGUUAUCAUCACUGACCAUAGUAUAAACACCAGAAAUAAUGCAUGACAGAAUUCCCCUAAAAAUAUCCGAUGGAUUCAUUCUUCAAAGAGUGUGGUCAUUGCUAAAUGUACAAGAUGAUAGUUGGUAGUUGUUGUCUAGUAAUAUGUAGAUCCCAAAUUGAAAUUGAUUUAAAAUCUAGGAGGGAUUAUCGCUCCUGCAAAUGUUUUAUUUUAAAAUUUAUCUAUUUAAUCCAAUGACAAAUAAGUUUUUCUCCCAUCCGUUUUAACAGUUCGAACAAAUAUUUUGUUUUCAGUUCAAGAAAUUUUAUCAAUUACGUUAAUAAUUAGUCCUAACAUGAUUAUUUGAUUUUUUUUUAUUUCUUCAGUUCGUAUUGUUUGAACUAGUUUACAUGACGAGUAGUGCAAUGGGUCCAUAUAUUAUAUAUGAAUGGGAAUUUAUCACUAAUAUAUUAUAUAUGUGUCCAUAUAUUAUACUAUUCGUGGUCAAUAGCUGUAGCCAGGAGUGGCUCUCCUUGUUGAUAAACUGAAAUUAGCGCAAACCUUGAGGACAGGCAUGAAAAAAUGGGAACACGAGCAUGAUUUGUGAUGAGAUAUAAUAUAGUUGAACCCAUGCCUUGACUGAUUCAAUAGAAAGGAGGGAAAAAAGAAGGAAAACAGGGGCAAGCAAUAAAGAAGAAGCAAAUUAUAAUCAUGGCUUCUAUAGCUGAUCGGGAAGAAGAGACAAAUAAUUUUUCAUAUGCAAUGGAACUGGCAAGUGCCAUAGUGCUACCUGCAGCUAUGCAAGCAGUGGUAGAGCUUGAUGUGUUUGAGAUCAUAAGCAAAGCCGGUCCUGGUGCUAAGCUUUCGGUUUCGGAAAUUGUGGCUCAAAUUCCCUUAAAAGAUAAUAAUCCUGAAGCUGCAGCCAUGAUGUUAGAUCGGGUGCUGAGGCUUACGUUAUUGACUUAAUUAACGAAUAGACCCUAGUGAAUAGGAAUAUCAAUUAAUUACAAAUGAAAAAAAUUUGCUGAGGAGUCCGAAUUUGAUGUACAUGAUAGCGAAGUCCACAUAACUCAAUUAAUUGUUUAAGUAACUGGGAGUUUUAUAAUUGGGAUAACGUGUAGUUUGAUAUUGUAAGUUACAAUCGUAAAAUAUUUAAUAAAUUUUUGAUGUUGUAAUUUAAACGUUAAGUUGAAUUUAUCACAUACUUAUAUGUAAAAAAAAACCUAUAAUAUAUUUUUGUCUUUUUUGUUAAAAUUAUUUGUUACAUAUUUUUUACUUUUAUUUCAUUUAUAUAUGUGUGUGUGUGUCAAAACACCUCAAUCUGAAACAUGGUCUUAAUUAAUAAAACAUUGUCAUUUUAUUAAUUAAUAAAACACCUCAAUACCUAGCAAGUAGCAAGCCACACAUGAUUUUAUUUUGUAUAUAAAAAUUUGACACUCUUUAAUAUUGUGUUUUUUCGUUUAUGUUUAUUAUGAGCUCGACUUUUUGUUUAUGAAAAUUUGACAUUCUGUAACUUUGGCGGGUUGGUAAGUGUAUAAUGAGCUACACUUAUUUAUUUAUUUGGAAAAAAGACACCUAUUUACAUUUGAGAAAAUAGUCAUAAAGACAUCUAAAUUUUUAAAAAGGGACUCCAAAUCUCCUUUUUAACUAUAAUAUCCUUUGAUUUAGUAAUUAAAAAGUUGACUUAAAUUUUUUUUAAUUAAUACAAAUUUAAUAUAAGUAAUAUAAUCUAUCUAGUACACUAAUAAUAUUAAAUUAUUUUUAACGUUUAAUAUAAUAUUAAAAAUUUAAAUUAUUACAUUUAUUUUAAUAAUACAUUUGCAUUUAUUAUAUAGAUUUUAAAAAUCUCUGUAUUAAAUAUAUUUUGCAAUUAACAGAAUAUAUCCCUAUUAAUAAUAUUAAUAUUAUUUUUUACAUAAUAUUUGAAAUAAUUUUAAUCUUUUAUUCUAAUAUUAUGUUUCUAUAUAUUAUUAAAAAUUACUUUAAUUAUAAUAUAAUUGGUCUAAUAUAUUGUAAAAUAUAAAAAUAUUUUAUAAAUAUUAAAAAUAUUUUCAAAUGUUGAUAUUAUUACAUUUAUUUUAAUGGCAUAUUUCUAUUUAUUAUAAAAUCUUAAGGUCAAUUAUUUUGGUUUUAUAAAGUCAAAAGGUAUUAUGAUAAAAAAGGGUUCUUGGUGUCCGUUAUUGAAAACUCGGGGUCCUUGUAAUCAUUUUCCAAAACCGUGGGGGUGUAGGUGUCCUUUUCCCUAUUUAUUUUUAUAAAAAUUAAGGUUUUUUUUUUUUUUAAAGCAAGAAAUCUAAUGAAUUAAUUCUUCAAAGAGUGUGAGGAUCAAAAACUUACUCUAUGGUUAUUGCUAAAUAUGAAAUAAGAUAAUUGACAUAGUUGUUAUCUAGUAUUAUAUCGAUCCCAAAUUAAUAGGUUCAAACAAAUAUUUUGUUUCAGUUCAAGAAAUUUUACUAAUUAUAUAUGUUAAGAAUUACUAAUUUACAUGUUGUGUUAAGUUUUUGGACAGAGAAAACUAAGGUAGUAUAUGUUCUUUUAUCUAAAAUCUAGAUGGAUUUGAAUGUAAUUGAAGUCUGAAUGAAUCUGAAUGCAUAUGUCAGAAUAACAUGUUUGUUUUUUAUUUUUUGACAUCUAGUGUAACGGUAAAUUGUUAUCUAUUUUUAUAAACUCAAAAUAUUUUAAAUCCAAUAUUUUUAUACUUAUGAUCUUGAAAGUGUUAUAUAUACCUGAAAUUUUUAAUAGGUAUAUAUUUAUAAUGUUUUCUUAACUAAAUAAGUUCAUGCAAUUGAUUGUUAUUAUUAUUGAAUAACUGUUUUUAGGUUGCCUUUAUUAGUUUAACAACAAUGGUACUUCGUCAAGAGAAUGAGUUACCAUUAUUAUUAAUAGGUCGGCGGCGACCAUUUUUUUUUCAUUUUUAGCUCACUGAUAAUUGACAUGGAAUAACGAUGUUUUAGAUAUAUACGAUAUAUUUUAGAUAAUCACACGUAUUUGUAUAUUUUAAAAUACUUAUCAUAAUGUCAAAUAUUUUUAUAUUAUUAUAAAUUGUUGAAAAAUUAUUUUAGAACAAUAUAAAAAUAUCUGUAUACAUGGUAGUCAAACAACAAUUUGAGCAUUGCUAUUAUUUUCCGAAAAUGUAGCUAAGUUUUCUGAAUGAAGAGUGUCCCUUGGAUUCGGUUGGAUUUUAUGCCGCACGACAGAAUUGCUGUGGCCGGAGGGUAAUGUUGUCGCAGUGGGCAAACAAUAAUUGACAUUUCACAUUCGGCUAUUUAUGAUGUAGGCCCAACUAUGUGUGUCCAACUUUGGAGGCUAUUAGGUAUAUGAUAUAUCCAAUUAAUAAGCUCCGCUUAUUUAUUUAUUUUUAUAAAAAUUCAGAUUUUUUUCCCCUAAAAAUAUCCGAUCGAUUCAUUCUUCAAAGAGUGUGCUUACUGCUAAAUAUACAAGAUGAUAGUUGGCAGUUAUUGUCUAGUAAUAUGUAGAUCCCAGAUUGAAUUUGAUUUAAAAUCCAGGAGCAUCGUUCCCGCAAAUGUUUCAUUUUAAAUUUUCUUUGUUUAAUCCAAUGGCAAAUAAAUUUUUCUCGCAUCCGUAUUAAUGGUUCGAACAAAUAAUUUUGUUUUCAGUUCAAGAAAUUUUAUCAAUUUUGUUAAUAAUUAGUACUCACAUAAUUAUUUACUUAUUUUUUUUUAUUUCUUCAAUUCUUAUUGUUUGAAUUAGUUUACAUGAUGAGUAGUGCAAUGUGUCCAUAUAUUAUUUAUGAAUGGUAAUUUAUCACUAAUACAGUGACAUUUCAUCCCGGAGUGGCUGUCCUUGUUGAUAAAUUGAAAUUAGCGCAAACCUUGAGGACAGGCAUGAAAAAAUGAGAACACGAGCAUGAUUGGUGAUGAGAUAUAAUAUAGAUGAACCCCUGCCUUGACUGAUUCAAUACAAAGGGAGGAAAAAAGAAGGAAAACAGGAGCAACCAAUUAAGAAAGAAGCAAAUUUAUAAUCAUGGCUUCUACAGCAGAUCAUGAAGAAGAGACAAAUAAUUUUUCAUAUGCAAUGGAACUGGCAAGUGCCAUAGUGCUACCUGCAGCUAUGCAAGCAGCGGUAGAGCUUGAUGUGUUUGAGAUCAUAAGCAAAGCUGGUCCCGGUGCUAAGCUUUUGGUUUCGGAAAUUGUGGCUCAAAUUCCCUUAAAAGAUAAUAAUCCUGAAGCUGCAGCCAUGACGUUGGAUCGGGUGCUGAGGCUGCUUGUCAGCUACAAUGCUCUUCAUUGCUCUUUUGUUGAUGGACAAAGGCUCUACUCUCUUGCUCCUGUUUCAGCAUACUUUGUUCGCAAUAAUCAAAACGGCGCGUCGUUGCGUCCCUAUAUGGCCUGGUGUCUCGACAAGGUCCUCAUGGAUUGCUGGUAUAUAGAAUUACUUUAUCUCCUUUCUUUCCUUUGCUAAUUUUGAUAAAUUAAGGACAAUUAUCAAAACCUUCUAGUUGUAUAUAUCCAAAAAUUAAUCAUUUGCAUCACAUGUUUUGAACCCAUCAAAAUCCGUCAGCUACUAAAAAGACAGUUAUCUUCAAUUAUUUUACUUUUGUUGUGGUAAAAAACAAAAAAAGUUUAUAGUCCAAGUGUUUUUGAAAUAUGAAAGUAGAAAGGAUUGAUUGUAACAAAUAAUUAAUAAAGUAUUCUUUAUCUUGGUUAAUUAUGCCGUCUAAUUUUACAAACUAAGCUUCUAAAAUUGUUACUAACUGUGUUUGGAUUUUGGAAAAUUCAGGUUUCGGUUGAAAGAGCAAAUUCUUGAAGGAGGAAUUGCGUUUAAUAAAGUGCACGGAAUGCAUAAGUACGAUUACUUGGGCGUUGACUCAAGAUUCAAUGAUGCUUACAACAAUGGAAUGUUAAGCCACACUUCUGUUGUCAUGGAGAAGAUCCUAGAAUCAUACAAAGGCUUUGAGCAUGUUAAGCAGCUUGUUGAUGUUGGCGGCGGCUUAGGAGCUGCUCUUAACAUGAUAAUUUCCAAAUACCCUCAUAUUAAGGGUAUUAAUUAUGAUUUACCAUAUGUUAUUCAAAAUGCCCCAUUUUAUCCUGGUAUGUUACUUACAAAAUUUAUACAAUAUUUUCGUUAAUGAUUCAUUGAUGGGAUACACGAUAGCUAACAAAAAUUAUUAUUAUUAUUUUUAAAUUUCAGGCAUUGAACAUGUAGGUGGAGACUUGUUUGAAAGUGUUCCUGAGGCAGAUACCAUUUUCAUAAAGGUUAUAUGUGUGUAUUAUUUGAAAUCAUCGUUAUAAGGAAAAAUCGAUAUAGGGUGAAUCACUAUUUUCCCCCCUAAUAUUUUGUAGGUUUACUUUGACCCGUUACUCAUUUGGUAUUAGAACUUUGACAAAAACACUUAAGGAAAAGUCAAAAUAUGUUGAAAAGUGUUGGGGGGCAACUGUCUCUCUUUCUUUUUCUCUAGUUGUAAAGGAGUGGCCAAAGCCCAAAUUGAUUAUUUAAAAACCACUGGACUAGCUCCUGAUGCAAAGUGUCAAUCUUUCCGGAUUAUACGUUUUGUUCAAUGCCAUAAAUUGAUCAUAGAUAUUCAUAUUAAUAGAUCUAAUGAGAAUUAACGUAAAUAUUAAACUUUUGCAGUGGGUCCUUAAUGCUUUUGAUGAUGAGCAGUCCUUGAAAUUGUUGAAAAAUUGUUACAAAGCUCUUCCGGAUGGUGGGAAGUUGCUUAAUGUUAAUGGAACAAUUCCAGAAGUGCCUGAGAAUAGCGCGACUUCAAGGGAGAUCUCCCACUUGGAUAUAAUUUGUUUAAUCCAAGUUCCUCAUGGAAGAGAGCGGACCAAACAAGAAUACAGUGACUUAGCAAUCAAAGCUGGAUUUAAAGGCGUCAACUACGAAUAUGGUGCAUGCAAUUUAUAUGUUAUGGAAUUCCUCAAAUAAUAAAUUGCUUUACUUGUAUUAGGAAAGGUCUUCUCAACUCUCUUUGGGGAGUUACCAAUUUCUGGUUUGUGUUAAUUUUUCUUCUCGCCUUAGCUUUUCUCUUAUGUACUCUUUUUCAUCCUUUAAGCAUCUGUCUUUUUAAGGGAGAUUGACUGCCUUAUAAGGUAGCUCCUAUGUAAUAUUUUCCAUUUUAAUUUUUACUGUUGUAGCAUGUGAUACUUAGUUUUUUAUCGAGGAAAAAAAUAGUGUAUUCAUCUGACUUUGUUUUUUUUUUUUUUUUCCUUUUUCUACUUAUUGCAAAGUUAUGUUGUGCAAAAACCAGCAAUAUAUAAUUAAUAAUUUAAAGUAAUAAAGUUUGAUUUUUGAACGUAGUAAAAUACACCGUAACUGAAUCGAACAAUGCCUGAAAAAUAUAUUGAAAAUGGAUUAUAGAGAUAUAAAUUUCUAUUAUAAUUAUAAUUUAGUUUUUUAUUUUUAAGUUAACUUAGAGAAAAUAUAUUUUAUUUUCAUUAUAAUUGUGAUUUAAUUUUUCUUUUUGAAUUAAUUUAGAGAAGUAGGUUUCCUCUAUUAUAAAUAGAGAGCUCUUGUGGUUGUUUUAAGAACUUUUUUCUAUUAUAAAUAGAGAGUUUUUGUGAUUAUUUUAAGAACUUUUUCCAAACUCAAUUAUUCUAUAAAUUUUUAUUCUAAUUUUUUUUUUCUAUCUUCUUUACAAUUCCUCGUCGGCUAAUAUAGGUCAAAGGGGUUAAAAAAAAGUGCAAGCCUUUUGAAACAAGUCACAGAUGACAGACCCAAUCAGAACUAUAAGUAAAUAUAAUAGUUUGCACUGGCAAUAGGAUUUCCGGCAUUUCGUCUAAGGCACAAUUGACACAACGCUUGAUUGACCAAAACAAAUAGUUGAUUAUUGUAAUUAUUGUGAAUAUAGUCUUUUGUUUUACAACGCGUUAAAUAUGUUUAUAUAUUUUGUAAAAGUCAAGCAAUGAGAUGUAGGGAACGAUUAUUGUUUUCACCAUAUCAAUUAUCUCAAAGAUUAUCUCAAAUAUUUUUCAUGUUCUGUCUGCCGGUACUCUGCCUUCUAGAGGUGCACAGUGAUGGGUGAAAAGAGGAAAAUGAAAAAAAGAUAAGAAAAAAUUUAUAAGGUCCUUUAAUGCGGGGUCGUUUUGGUUCGAUAUGUGUUGAAAAUUUUUUCGGGUGCAAGCUGUCGCUAUCACCGACUUCAAAAACCUUGUCUUGUAAUAUUAAUAUAGGCCCCGAGCCCCCCACCACUUUGCCUCUGUGAUUAAGAACCCCAUUCUUUGUCUUUUAGCAAACCCCCCGCCGCUUUAUAAGUCAAUAAUUUUGUUUUUUUUUUUUUUUUUUUUUGUCAACUCAAUUGAAGGCUUUGCCCACUUGUAGAAAAUCCCAUAAUGGGUUCCACUAGGUUACAGCAGUGGCACAUAUAAUUUCUUUUUGUCUUCUGUGAUAAAAUUUCAUAUAAUCUCUUCUAUUUAUUUUUAUUUAAUAUUUAUCCUAUAAGUAUUAAGUUAAUUUCUACCUACACUUACAGCUACAUUUCGGUUAGCUCUUUAUACUAUUUUAUAUUUACAGAUUUUUUAUUCAAUAUUGCACAUGUAUCACAAUACCCCCUCUUUAUUAUUUUGAAGUUAAAUAAUUAACAUGUUUAAUUUAAAACCUUACACUCCUUUUUAAUUAUAAUCUUUUUAAAUAUCGGGUAUUUUUUACAUUUGCUAUCAAAUUUCAUUUAACACUUUACACUCUUUUUAUUUCGAAUUUUUUUAUAGAUAUUAAUUUACAUUAUGGUAGUGCACUGUGUCCAUAUAUUAUUUAUGAAUGGUAAUUUAUCACUAAUACAGUGACAUUUCAUCCAGGAGUGGCUCUCCUUGUUGAUAAAUUGAAAUUAGCGCAAACCUUGAGGACAGGCAUGAAAAAAUGAGAACACGAGCAUGAUUUGUGAUGAGAUUUAAUAUAGUUGAAUCCAUGCCUCGACUGAUUCAAUAGAAAGGAGGGAAAAAAGAAGGAAAACAGAAGCAAGCAAUUAAGAAAGAAGCAAAUUAUAAUCAUGGCUUCUAUAGCUGAUCAGGAAGAAGAGGCAAAUAAUUUUUCAUAUGCAAUGGAACUGGCAAGUGCCAUAGUGCUACCUGCAGCUAUGCAAGCAGUGGUAGAGCUUGAUGUGUUUGAGAUCAUAACCAAAGCUGGUCCCGGUGCUAAGCUUUCAGUUUCGGAAAUUGUGGCUCAAAUUCCCUUAAAAGAUAAUAAUCCUGAAGCUGCAGCCAU
RNAcentral lists this long non-coding RNA (42691 nucleotides) under Citrus x clementina. RNAcentral describes it as "Citrus clementina (C. clementina) long non-coding RNA (CCLE_LNC004549)". The record is from RNAcentral. Lineage: Eukaryota; Viridiplantae; Streptophyta; Magnoliopsida; Sapindales; Rutaceae.